AAACAAUGGUGUGGACAGUUUCUUUGGUAGGCUAUGAGUCUCACCCAAGAAGUAUUGAAUGCUACAGUAGAAUUCUGAGUAAAUGUGGAGUUCUUAUUUCUCAGCUC
Molecule: small nucleolar RNA, 107 nt
Organism: Raphanus sativus (radish)
Lineage: Eukaryota; Viridiplantae; Streptophyta; Magnoliopsida; Brassicales; Brassicaceae
Source: RefSeq, a predicted model, not a curated record